RNAcentral lists this long non-coding RNA (2580 nucleotides) under Marmota monax (woodchuck). The stretch from base 849 to 917 matches the Rfam family "tRNA". The record is from RNAcentral. Lineage: Eukaryota; Metazoa; Chordata; Mammalia; Rodentia; Sciuridae.
CGGAAGUCGGGUCAUAGGGUCUCCGGAGUCGAGUGGGGUUGAGGAAGCGUUGAAGGCUGGAGCCGGUUCGUUGGCUAAGGCUGGUGGGGCGAGGAACUGGGGACGGCGGGAGUCCGGGCCUUAGACCCCUGCACACAUUCUGGCCAUUUUCCUCCUCCCUUUGGGCCUAAUCAGACUGUGCCUGACCCCGCCGGGUCGCGGACUGAGCGGGGGCACUCCCUCCUUGGCCCUAGCGCUCCCUAGCCACCUCUCGGAGUGGAGCCAGGCUAUCUGUUAAGUACCUUCCCCUUGAUCCCCAACCGCCUCCAGGUCUCCCCGAGGCUCCCAAGGAGCCUCCACUACUAAUGACUGCUUGGGGCUUGUUGGCUAUGUCGAGAAUUUUAAGGUCUUCUUGAAUUUUCCAGUUUAAGUGGCUGGGUGGAGACUUUGGAGAAAUUGCUCAACUUGUGUUUGUACAACUUCUCAUCUGUAAUUUGAGAGAGAAAUAAAUCCUAUCUCUAAGCCUCUCUUCAGCUUUAAAUUCGAAGAUUCUCAGAUUCUGUUGUAUAUUGAAUGUUGAUGUCCUGAUGGUGGGCAGAAUCCUCAGAACGAUUCAGAUCAAUGACAAAAUUUUAAAUAAUUUCAUUUGGCUCAUUACUCACUGUUCAUUAUCAUUCAUCUUUUGAAACUGAAUAGAACUGGAAGUUCAGGUUUAAGUGACAAAUCACAGUAACACAAUAUUAGUUAAACCACUUCAAAGUGUUAACUUGAGGAAUCUCAAUAUUUGAUAAUGUUGAAUCUUAGAAAUUCAGUUCAGCAGACACUGCUGGAGUAUUUCUGAGAGCAUAUUUAAAAUGUAGAUAAGGGCUGGGGCUGUAGCUCAGUGGUAGAGUGCUCGCCUCACAUGUGGAAGGCAUUGGGUUCAAUCCUCAGCACCACAUAAAAAUAAAACAUCACAUAAAAAUAAAAUAAAGGUAUUGUGUCCAUCUACAACUAAAAAAAAUUUUAAAAAAUGCAGAUGAGUUUAUUGGAGAGAAUUGAUGUUAAGACUUUGCACACACAGUUAAUUUGUAUUUUCUGAGUUUGCAGGUGAAAUCUGCAAUUCAGAUUAAGGAUGGCUUCCCAUUGUAUAGUUGAGGUUUCUGGAGCCCUGGGCAUCUUCAUUUGUAAGCUAAGGAAGAUUUUUAACUAGAUCUCUAAGAUUCUUUAGCUAUAAAAGUCUAAGAAUCUGGGGCUUGGGAUAUUAGCUCAGUUGGUAGAGUGCUUGCCUUGCAUACACACAAGGCCCUGGGUUCAAUCCCCAGCACCACAAAAAUAAAUAAAUAAAUAAAUAAAAUCUCUCUUUCUGUUUGAUGUGGAACAUUCAUUUAAAAAAAAAAGUCUGUCUAAGAGUCUGUAGUAAUAUUGAAUGAGCAUUUCACAUUGAUAUGGCUUUAGGGGAUCCCUGAGAUAUACAUUUCUCACUUUAGAUAUAGGAACUGACUGGAGAUGGAGAUUGUCUUUACUUUGGCCUUAUUUUCAGACUCCACAUUGAAAGGAGAGCACUCAGGGAAGAAGGGCCUACAUAAAGAAAGUUUAAGGAAAAAAAUGAAGGGAGCAGUUUGAUUAUCACCAUCCUUGAAUAAGGAAGGAGAAAAUAUGGAUUUUCCACAGCAUGAACUCCAGGUGACAUUUGAAAAGGUGCUAUCUAGUUCCAGAUAUAUUUUAACAUAAACCACAGAGCCAAUACCAGCAGAAAUUUAUGAGAUGAAUUGAAUCAGUGGCUAAGCUCUAGAGCAGGAAUCAGCAAACUUUCUGUAAAGAGCCAGAUGGUAAAUAUUUUAGGCUCUGUGGGUCAUAUGGUCUCUGUGGCAGAUAGUCUGCUGUUGUAGCACAAAAGUAGCCAUUCACAUAAAUGAAUGGGUGAGUCUGUGUUCCCAUGAAACUUUUUACUUACAAAACCAGGCAGUAGACCAGAAUAAUUAGAUUUGAAUUCUGGGCUGUUUUAAUCAUCCUUUCUCCCUAAAACUUAGUGGUGUAAAACAGCAACCAUUUUGCAGUUUUUCAUGAUUCUGUAGUCUACUAGGCAUGGCUAAUGGUAUUUCUGGUCUUGCCAGUGGCCACCAGGGAGGCUGUAUUUAGCUAGCAGUUUGGUGAGAGAAUGGGUCCAGAUAACAUGAGCAUGGCUGGGCCUCUGGCUCUCUCCUAUGUAGUCUGAGAGCUUGUCUCUCUUCAUAUUGUUUCCCCCAUGUCUCUGUAGCACAAUAGCUAAACUUCUUGCAUGGUAGUUUAGGGUAGUAAGAGUGCAUAACUGGAAGCCACAGGGCCUUUUUCAGGCUGAGGUCAAAAAUUUGCAUACCUCUUCUCUUGUGUCCUAUGAGUUAAACCUGAUCCAAAUGCAAGGUGUAGGUGGGAUCACCAGUGAAACACAUUAUGCUGCCUCUAAGGAGCUGAGUGAUCUUGGACAGAUUCCUUAACCUCCCUUAAGCUUUAGACUUUCCAUUUAUAAAAUAAAGUUGAUACCUUAUAGGGUUUUGGUGAAGCUACAAAUAAGAUGCAGAAAACUCUUAGCACACAGUUCCUAUUGUAUAGUGGCCAUUUAAUAAGUAGAAGCUGGUAAAG